UCUAAUACUGCCGGGGCUAUUUUGGGUGCUUAUAGACCUGCCAAUAGGUUGGGCUUGGCCUAAGCCAGGAUAGGACCAUUUUGUCCAAUUUUAACUUGCUAGGAAUCCAUCCUCAUCUUCUCUCCUCCACUCUCCAUAUAAUAUCAAGGGAAUCCCUCGCAUAAGAGGGGAGUUUGGCACAAUUAGAGGUGUUGCAAAUGACAUAAAUGGAU
This 212-nucleotide long non-coding RNA is filed under the name Elaeis guineensis (African oil palm). RNAcentral's name for it is "long non-coding RNA (EGUI_LNC015173)". Lineage: Eukaryota; Viridiplantae; Streptophyta; Magnoliopsida; Arecales; Arecaceae. The record is from RNAcentral.